RNAcentral lists this ribosomal RNA (1114 nucleotides) under Levilactobacillus brevis. Its description in RNAcentral is "bacterial SSU rRNA". It matches the Rfam family "Bacterial small subunit ribosomal RNA", at positions 32 to 1128 of the family's 1533-position model. The record is from RNAcentral. Lineage: Bacteria; Bacillati; Bacillota; Bacilli; Lactobacillales; Lactobacillaceae.
GUCGACCGCGACUGCUAUACAUGCAGUCGACGAGCUUCCGUUGAAUGACGUGCUUGCACUGAUUUCAACAAUGAAGCGAGUGGCGAACUGGUGAGUAACACGUGGGAAAUCUGCCCAGAAGCAGGGGAUAACACUUGGAAACAGGUGCUAAUACCGUAUAACAACAAAAUCCGCAUGGAUUUUGUUUGAAAGGUGGCUUCGGCUAUCACUUCUGGAUGAUCCCGCGGCGUAUUAGUUAGUUGGUGAGGUAAAGGCCCACCAAGACGAUGAUACGUAGCCGACCUGAGAGGGUAAUCGGCCACAUUGGGACUGAGACACGGCCCAAACUCCUACGGGAGGCAGCAGUAGGGAAUCUUCCACAAUGGACGAAAGUCUGAUGGAGCAAUGCCGCGUGAGUGAAGAAGGGUUUCGGCUCGUAAAACUCUGUUGUUAAAGAAGAACACCUUUGAGAGUAACUGUUCAAGGGUUGACGGUAUUUAACCAGAAAGCCACGGCUAACUACGUGCCAGCAGCCGCGGUAAUACGUAGGUGGCAAGCGUUGUCCGGAUUUAUUGGGCGUAAAGCGAGCGCAGGCGGUUUUUUAAGUCUGAUGUGAAAGCCUUCGGCUUAACCGGAGAAGUGCAUCGGAAACUGGGAGACUUGAGUGCAGAAGAGGACAGUGGAACUCCAUGUGUAGCGGUGGAAUGCGUAGAUAUAUGGAAGAACACCAGUGGCGAAGGCGGCUGUCUAGUCUGUAACUGACGCUGAGGCUCGAAAGCAUGGGUAGCGAACAGGAUUAGAUACCCUGGUAGUCCAUGCCGUAAACGAUGAGUGCUAAGUGUUGGAGGGUUUCCGCCCUUCAGUGCUGCAGCUAACGCAUUAAGCACUCCGCCUGGGGAGUACGACCGCAAGGUUGAAACUCAAAGGAAUUGACGGGGGCCCGCACAAGCGGUGGAGCAUGUGGUUUAAUUCGAAGCUACGCGAAGAACCUUACCAGGUCUUGACAUCUUCUGCCAAUCUAGAGAUAGACGUCCCUUCGGGACAGAAUGACAGUGUGCAUGUGUCGUCAGCUCGUGUCGUGAGAUGUGGUAAGUCCCGCACGAGCGCAACCUUAUUUUCAGUUGCCAGCAUCAGU